Molecule: ribosomal RNA, 136 nt
Filed under: uncultured eukaryote
Lineage: Eukaryota
Description: partial 18S ribosomal RNA
Rfam family: Eukaryotic small subunit ribosomal RNA
Source: RNAcentral
UGGUGGAGCGAUUUGUCUGGUUUAUUCCGAUAACGAACGAGACUCCAACCUACUAACUAGUCGACGAAUACUCUUGGUUCGUCUCACUUCUUAGAGGGACAAGCGGUGUUCAGCCGCAUGAGAAGGAGCAAUAACA